AUUGAACGCUGGCGGCAGGCCUAACACAUGCAAGUCGAGCGGUAGCACAGAGAGCUUGCUCUCGGGUGACGAGCGGCGGACGGGUGAGUAAUGUCUGGGAAACUGCCUGAUGGAGGGGGAUAACUACUGGAAACGGUAGCUAAUACCGCAUAAUGUCGCAAGACCAAAGUGGGGGACCUUCGGGCCUCAUGCCAUCAGAUGUGCCCAGAUGGGAUUAGCUGGUAGGUGGGGUAAUGGCUCACCUAGGCGACGAUCCCUAGCUGGUCUGAGAGGAUGACCAGCCACACUGGAACUGAGACACGGUCCAGACUCCUACGGGAGGCAGCAGUGGGGAAUAUUGCACAAUGGGCGCAAGCCUGAUGCAGCCAUGCCGCGUGUGUGAAGAAGGCCUUCGGGUUGUAAAGCACUUUCAGCGGGGAGGAAGGCGUUAAGGUUAAUAACCUUGGCGAUUGACGUUACCCGCAGAAGAAGCACCGGCUAACUCCGUGCCAGCAGCCGCGGUAAUACGGAGGGUGCAAGCGUUAAUCGGAAUUACUGGGCGUAAAGCGCACGCAGGCGGUCUGUCAAGUCGGAUGUGAAAUCCCCGGGCUCAACCUGGGAACUGCAUUCGAAACUGGCAGGCUAGAGUCUUGUAGAGGGGGGUAGAAUUCCAGGUGUAGCGGUGAAAUGCGUAGAGAUCUGGAGGAAUACCGGUGGCGAAGGCGGCCCCCUGGACAAAGACUGACGCUCAGGUGCGAAAGCGUGGGGAGCAAACAGGAUUAGAUACCCUGGUAGUCCACGCCGUAAACGAUGUCGAUUUGGAGGUUGUGCCCUUGAGACGUGGCUUCCGGAGCUAACGCGUUAAAUCGACCGCCUGGGGAGUACGGCCGCAAGGUUAAAACUCAAAUGAAUUGACGGGGGCCCGCACAAGCGGUGGAGCAUGUGGUUUAAUUCGAUGCAACGCGAAGAACCUUACCUGGUCUUGACAUCCACAGAACUUAGCAGAGAUGCUUUGGUGCCUUCGGGAACUGUGAGACAGGUGCUGCAUGGCUGUCGUCAGCUCGUGUUGUGAAAUGUUGGGUUAAGUCCCGCAACGAGCGCAACCCUUAUCCUUUGUUGCCAGCGGUCCGGCCGGGAACUCAAAGGAGACUGCCAGUGAUAAACUGGAGGAAGGUGGGGAUGACGUCAAGUCAUCAUGGCCCUUACGACCAGGGCUACACACGUGCUACAAUGGCAUAUACAAAGAGAAGCGACCUCGCGAGAGCAAGCGGACCUCAUAAAGUAUGUCGUAGUCCGGAUUGGAGUCUGCAACUCGACUCCAUGAAGUCGGAAUCGCUAGUAAUCGUAGAUCAGAAUGCUACGGUGAAUACGUUCCCGGGCCU
RNAcentral lists this ribosomal RNA (1361 nucleotides) under uncultured bacterium. RNAcentral describes it as "bacterial SSU rRNA". It matches the Rfam family "Bacterial small subunit ribosomal RNA", at positions 28 to 1381 of the family's 1533-position model. The record is from RNAcentral.